This 439-nucleotide ribosomal RNA is filed under the name uncultured bacterium. Its description in RNAcentral is "bacterial SSU rRNA". It matches the Rfam family "Bacterial small subunit ribosomal RNA", at positions 340 to 793 of the family's 1533-position model. The record is from RNAcentral.
UACGGGAGGCAGCAGUGGGGAAUAUUGGACAAUGGACCAAAAGUCUGAUCCAGCAAUUCUGUGUGUUUGAUGAAGGCCUUCGGGUUGUAAAGAACUUUCAGUGGGGAAGAAGCAAGUGACGGUACCCACAGAAGAAGCGACGGCUAAAUACGUGCCAGCAGCCGCGGUAAUACGUAUGUCGCAAGCGUUAUCCGGAAUUAUUGGGCAUAAAGGGCGUCUAGGCGGUCUAAUAAGUCUGAUGUGAAAAUGCGGGGCUCAACUCCGUAUUGCGUUGGAAACUGUUAGACUAGAGUUUUGGAGAGGUAGGCGGAACUACAAGUGUAGAGGUGAAAUUCGUAGAGAUUUGUAGGAAUGCCGAUGACGAAGGUAGCUUACUGGACAAAUACUGACGCUGAAGCGCGAAAGCUAGGGGAGCAAACAGGAUUAGAUACCCUGGUAG